UACGUAGGGGGCAAGCGUUGUCCGGAUUUAUUGGGCGUAAAGAGCGUGUAGGCGGCUUGGUAGGUCCGCUGUGAAAACUCGAGGCUCAACCUCGAGAUGUCGGCGGAAACCACUUGGCUAGAGUCCGGAAGAGGAGAGUGGAAUUCCCGGUGUAGCGGUGAAAUGCGCAGAUAUCGGGAAGAACACCUAUGGCGAAGGCAGCUCUCUGGGGACGGUACUGGACGCUGAGACGCGAAAGCGUGGGGAGGCAAACAGG
RNAcentral lists this ribosomal RNA (256 nucleotides) under uncultured bacterium. RNAcentral describes it as "partial 16S ribosomal RNA". It matches the Rfam family "Bacterial small subunit ribosomal RNA", at positions 524 to 776 of the family's 1533-position model. The record is from RNAcentral.